This 71-nucleotide transfer RNA is filed under the name Cordylochernes scorpioides. RNAcentral's name for it is "tRNA-Glu". Lineage: Eukaryota; Metazoa; Arthropoda; Arachnida; Pseudoscorpiones; Chernetidae. The record is from RNAcentral.
UACCCACGCCGGGAAUCGAACCAGGCCUUCUGAGUGAAAGCCAGAUAGCUUAGCCACUAGACCACGUGGGA